This is a long non-coding RNA of Monodelphis domestica (gray short-tailed opossum), 764 nucleotides long. RefSeq lists it as uncharacterized. NCBI's taxonomy places the organism in Eukaryota, Metazoa, Chordata, Mammalia, Didelphimorphia, Didelphidae. The record is from RefSeq and is a predicted model, not a curated record.
UCAGCAGUUAACGCAUGCGCAUUGGGUGGAUUGCCCUCGUGCUCACCCUCCACCUGGGCGGGGCAAGGUCUUUGCACGCUGAGUGGGGGCCCUCUAGAGGAUGAAAAUUCGUAGAGUGUUUUUCGUUUUCUUUUAGAAGGAAACUUUUCAUCGACUUGGAACUGUCAGAAACGUCUUCCAACCUCUUCAUUUUACAAAUGAUGAAGUCGAGGUUCAGAGAGAUUGCAGCUUUUUCGAGGUCACGCAGAUAGUAAAUCGAGAUACCACCAUAGGUUCUUGAAAGCCCUCUCGAUACUUUUUCCUUUAUUCUGCGCUCGGGUCUCACGUGCAUGUUGUUUGGUUUAUAGAGAGCUUCCCAAAACUUUUUGCAAAUAAGGGAACUGAGUCAGAGAGAAAAAAGAAAUGACUAAGCUAAGAUCUUAUCUCUCUCGUGGACUCCAUUGGACCUUGGAGAAGCAGACCUUCAAGAAGAGUGAGCAAGAGUUUUCCCCAAUACUCUUAGGUGGACGAAGGGAAAAUUGUGGAAGACUUCAGCUAUUCUAUGGACCUCUGAGCACCUUCAUCUGGAUACCAGCAUCUCCCUGCUAAGGACUCUAUAUAUGUGAUAUUUCUGAGUUUUGUUUGACUAGCCUUUAGUAUUUUGGUGUAAGAAGAUAGGCUUAUUAUAUAGGGGCUUAAACUAGGGGUUAAGCAGUCUAAUCUCCCUUUUCCUCUUUCCUCCCUUUCCCCUCUCUGUUAAAAUAAAAUCAAAUUAUUUAUAUGAA